AUCAGUGGCGAACGGGUGAGUAACACGUGAGCAAUCUGCCCUUGACUCUGGGAUAACUGCGGGAAACUGUAGCUAAUACCGGAUACGACCUGAAGAGGCAUCUUUUUGGGUGGAAAGAAUUUUGGUCAAGGAUGAGCUCGCGGCCUAUCAGCUUGUUGGUGAGGUAAUGGCUCACCAAGGCGACGACGGGUAGCCGGCCUGAGAGGGUGACCGGCCACACUGGGACUGAGACACGGCCCAGACUCCUACGGGAGGCAGCAGUGGGGAAUAUUGCACAAUGGGCGCAAGCCUGAUGCAGCAACGCCGCGUGAGGGACGAAGGCCUUCGGGUUGUAAACCUCUUUUAGUAGGGAAGAAGCGACUGGGUUUUCCUGGGAGUGACGGUACCUGCAGAAAAAGCACCGGCUAACUACGUGCCAGCAGCCGCGGUAAUACGUAGGGUGCAAGCGUUGUCCGGAAUUAUUGGGCGUAAAGAGCUCGUAGGCGG
Molecule: ribosomal RNA, 486 nt
Filed under: uncultured Cryobacterium sp.
Lineage: Bacteria; Bacillati; Actinomycetota; Actinomycetes; Micrococcales; Microbacteriaceae
Description: bacterial SSU rRNA
Rfam family: Bacterial small subunit ribosomal RNA
Source: RNAcentral